AACGCUGGCGGCGUGCCUAGCACAUGCAAGUCGAACGGAGAUAUUAAUGAAGCUUGCGAUUUAAUAUCUUAGUGGCGGACGGGUGAGUAACGCGUGGGUAAUCUGCCCAUAAGUGGGGAACAACAGUUGGAAACGACUGCUAAUACCGCAUACGCUGUCGCAAGACAGGAAAGGUGGCCUCUGAAUAUGCUGCCGCUUAUGGAUGAGCCCGCGUCUGAUUAGCUAGUUGGUGGGGUAAAGGCCUACCAAGGCGACGAUCAGUAGCCGGCCUGAGAGGGUGAACGGCCACACUGGGACUGAGACACGGCCCAGACUCCUACGGGAGGCAGCAGUGGGGAAUAUUGCGCAAUGGGGGAAACCCUGACGCAGCGACGCCGCGUGAGCGAUGAAGGCCUUAGGGUUGUAAAGCUCUGUUUUAAGGGACGAAUGUUACGGGGAGUAAUAUGCCCUGUAAAUGACGGUACCUUAAGAGGAAGCCCCGGCUAACUACGUGCCAGCAGCCGCGGUAAGACG
This 513-nucleotide ribosomal RNA is filed under the name uncultured Pelospora sp. RNAcentral describes it as "bacterial SSU rRNA". It matches the Rfam family "Bacterial small subunit ribosomal RNA", at positions 32 to 527 of the family's 1533-position model. The record is from RNAcentral. Lineage: Bacteria; Bacillati; Bacillota; Clostridia; Eubacteriales; Syntrophomonadaceae.